UUUUUUUUUUUCACUGGGUGGUGGAGAGCUUAGCAGUAAAAUGAGGGGCAUAAAAAUCUAACAAGUGAAACAAAACAGAAGUAACACUGCUGCGCAAUGUUUGACCUGGUUUUUAGUUUCGUUUGUGAGCUGUACAAGGAAAUGAGUUGAGUUUCAAAGCAGACCUCAUCAGGUGUAAUCCUACAUGGUCUCUACUCCAGAGUUGGGGCAAACUAGUGGCUGCCAUGCUUCUGAGCACCAGAGAUGUGGCUUCAUCAGCAGAGGCUGUACUGGCUUCAGAGGUGGUGAAUGGUUUGAGCCAGGCAAGAACCUGGUUCUCUGGACCCUCCUCUAAGGCAAUGUUAUCCUCACUUGUGCACUCAUUGUGACAUUUCCUACUGUGCAGAAAGCCACGCUCUAUGAUCCAAGGGAGACCCCAGUUUAAGAGGGGGUCUGCCAGAUAUCACAGGCUGUGGGUGGAUUUUUGCCUAGGACGGGUGUCCCCAGCGAUUUCCUUGGUGUCUCGUACCUGGCAUCCUUCACAGUUGUGUAAAGAGAGGUGCUAUGUAAAGAGUGGCUGUCUGGUCAGGCCACUGACAGAAUGAUGCCAAGGAGCAGCCUUCUGCUUACUCACCAGACGUGUGCAGAAUAGCCAGAGGAAGGGAAGUGGGCCUUCUUGGAGAAGUGAACCCCUUGAGCUGCUCCUGAGCUAGAUUCUGAUACAGGCCCCCUCCUUUGCUUUCUCUACCCCCUACCUCGCCUUGGAUUUUUCUGCCUUUUCGAAGAGAGGGAGCGAGGGAGAGUGGAAGGACUCAGUGAGGAAGGAGUUAAGGGAAUGCUCACUGGGGAUUAUAAAACAGCCAGGCACUUGGAAACAGUUAAGAAGAGAGAAACAGAUCUGCCAGGAGGGAGUGUGGCACUGGAGCCGGUGGUUUAUUUUCAUGCCUCCCUACACAGCAAUGCAGACGGCUCUCCUACAAUGGGGACGGAGGAAUUUGUGAAUCUCCCUGCAAAUAAUCAGGGGAAGGAUCAGUUUAUGCCAAUGUAAGAUUCACUACCUCUGAGUAUUGUCCAUCUGCCUGUCCUAUAUCCAGCUUAUGACCAGUGAUGCCUGCAGUGCCUGACACUUGCUUUCUCUUUCCGAGAGAACAGGAGGAAAGGUGGGGCUUAUGCUCUAAGCAAAAGUCCCUGUUUGGAAUUGAGUAACAAGACUUUGUUAUGCGUUAAAGUUAAAAAUAAAUUGAUCUUGUUUAUCUGAACAGAACCAGGAUAUAAAAUAAAGUUCUAGCUACA
Cyanistes caeruleus (blue tit) is the source of this 1272-nucleotide non-coding RNA. Lineage: Eukaryota; Metazoa; Chordata; Aves; Passeriformes; Paridae. The record is from RefSeq and is a predicted model, not a curated record.